UAGGGAAUCUUCGGCAAUGGACGAAAGUCUGACCGAGCAACGCCGCGUGAGUGAAGAAGGUUUUCGGAUCGUAAAACUCUGUUGUUAGAGAAGAACAAGGACGUUAGUAACUGAACGUCCCCUGACGGUAUCUAACCAGAAAGCCACGGCUAACUACGUGCCAGCAGCCGCGGUAAUACGUAGGUGGCAAGCGUUGUCCGGAUUUAUUGGGCGUAAAGCGAGCGCAGGCGGUUUCUUAAGUCUGAUGUGAAAGCCCCCGGCUCAACCGGGGAGGGUCAUUGGAAACUGGGAGACUUGAGUGCAGAAGAGGAAAGUAGAAUUCCAUGUGUAGCGGUGAAAUGCGUAGAUAUAUGGAGGAACACCAGUGGCGAAGGCGGCUCUCUGGUCUGUAACUGACGCUGAGGCUCGAAAGCGUGGGGAGCAAACAGG
Molecule: ribosomal RNA, 429 nt
Filed under: Gemmatimonadota bacterium
Lineage: Bacteria; Pseudomonadati; Gemmatimonadota
Description: Gemmatimonadetes bacterium partial 16S ribosomal RNA
Rfam family: Bacterial small subunit ribosomal RNA
Source: RNAcentral